This 571-nucleotide ribosomal RNA is filed under the name uncultured fungus. RNAcentral describes it as "eukaryotic LSU rRNA". The stretch from base 197 to 350 matches the Rfam family "5.8S ribosomal RNA". Lineage: Eukaryota; Fungi. The record is from RNAcentral.
UCCGUUGGUGAACCAGCGGAGGGAUCAUUACCAGAGUGCCCUAGGCUCUCCAACCCAUUGUGAACUUACCAAACGUUCCCUCGGCGGGCUCAGCGCGCGGUGGCCUCCGGGCCUCCGGGCGUCCGCCGGGGAAAACCAAACCCUGAUUUAAUCGUAUUUCUCUGAGGGGCGAAAGCCCGAAAACAAAAUGAAUCAAAACUUUCAACAACGGAUCUCUUGGCUCUGGCAUCGAUGAAGAACGCAGCGAAAUGCGAUAAGUAAUGUGAAUUGCAGAAUUCAGUGAAUCAUCGAAUCUUUGAACGCACAUUGCGCCCGCCGGCACUCCGGCGGGCAUGCCUGUCCGAGCGUCAUUUCAACCCUCAGGCCCACCCUUCCGGGGGAGCGGGCCUGGUUCUGGGGAUCGGCGGCCCUCGCGGCCCCCGUCCCUCAAAUUCAGUGGCGGUCGCGCCGCAGCCUCCCCUGCGUAGUAGCACAACCUCGCACCGGAGAGCGGAACGACCACGCCGUAAAACACCCAAUUUUUUAAGGUUGACCUCGGAUCAGGUAGGAAUACCCGCUGAACUUAAGCAUA